GGCACCUGCGCACCCUGAUCCCCAACACCGCCGGCGCCCCCUCUGGAUCCCCAUCUCCACUGCCCCCUCUGGAUCUCCAUCUCCACCGGCGCCCCCUUUAUCCCCAACACCAUUGCCGCCCCUUUGAUCUCCGUCUCCACCGCCCCCUUGAUCCACAACACUCCUUCUCACACAGACCCUAUUUGAAGGCUGGAAUCGAGUUUGCAUGCAUGGGUUCUUCGGAGGCUGUCGCGGUAGUGACGAGGUCGUCAUUGAUCUGCACCUGAUGGUAGGUGGGCGACAAGGACGGCGCCGCGGCCUCCACCAGCUUCCACGGGAACGACGCCAUCGGCAGCCCCUACGCAUCCUUAGUCUGCGCCCGCGCCGGUGAAAUCCGCCGCUGCGACACCUCGUGCCUGCGCCGCCACGUCCUCCAACUUCAUCUCCUUGGUCUCCUCCCUCAAGUCCUGCCUCGCAUCUCAGAGGCCCUCGCCUGGUGAGCAGCAUCACGGAGGCCGUCGCCUGCCUCCACCCCUCGACGCCUUCCGUAACCUGCAGGGGGUGUUCUCUAAUUAGUGCCGGAAUUAUUUAGUUUCAUAGACUCUGAAUUUAGCAGGCUAAUAAGUGUUGGUUCAGGAUUGAGGUUCUAUAUUAUUUAGGUGUGUUUAUAGUACAUAUGGAAGCAUACUGGAGGUCUGAAGUCUGAAACGCAUUGUCAACAGUUUUCUUGAUAACAAACACAUGAUGUCCAAUAUAUCAUACGAAUUAGGGUGAGUUAUGCACCACCUGAAAGCACACCUUGCACCAAAUGAACUGCUACGAGAGCUUUCAGGUACUGGACCAAUGUGCUUGUAUUGACCAUCGACAUAUUCUCUCUGCUCACCACUUGGGAUCCAAUUUAUGAUCCCCACCAUCGAGUCCGCCAGCGUCGAUGCUGCCAGGUGGUGGAUGCCUGCUUGCCAGGGCCACGUUGACGCGAAGCAUAUAUGUCCACUGCCUGUCUUGCCGUAGGGGAGUUCCGCGAGGUCCUGAUCCGGCAUUGAUCCGAUGACGCCUUCAUGGCUAAGAGUUUGGUGCUCCCUACGGCCGGCGACGUAGCAGGCGGAGGUUCCUCUUGACUCGUCGUGCAACACCUUUGUCGAUCUGGGUGACGCUGCAGUAAAGAUAGAACUGUUGUUGUGCCAAUUGUCUCCUUCCCACGCCAGUGAAGAUAGAUAUGGAUGUCGAUGAUCAAUCUGAUGAAGAGGUAGAGUCUACUAUGCAAAGACUCUCGAGCAACACAUGCCUCCCCGACCUCGAGCACCACCGGCCUUCCUUCCCAACCACUGUACCGUGGAGCUGCCAAGGCGGUGGUUGCAGCUCAUCCUCUUCCUCUUGCGAAGAACAUGAUGUGGGCAGAGAGGUGGAGUUCUUCCUCAACUGGAUGAGCGAACCUGCUUGCCCUGCACCACCCACAUCGCCGAGAUGUAAGUUGAGUAGGAGAAGGAGCUACAGAGUGUGGAGCAGGUCAAGAUGGAGAUGCAGGAGGACUAUGUCGCGCUUGAUCUCGUACGAUUUGUCAAUCUCCAUAGUUAUGCUCUUGAGGAACUGAUAUAGAUUUCUCUUGAGAAAGAUAUUAGGAUGAAACGUUUUGAUGGAGCAUGCUAAAUUUCCUAUCUGAAGAUUUUUCCGUAGGUAUGUACCAAUCAUCAUAUUAGUAAUAGCUUAUAUUUUGUAGACGUUAGAAAUUUAAGAUGCUUACAUUGGUGCAAAUUUUUCUAUAGGUAUUUACAAUGUCUAAACUAAAGGCAUCAGCUACAUUUCAUAUUACCAUUAAUUGUUGCAAAUUUCAUAAUA
This is a long non-coding RNA of Lolium rigidum, 1815 nucleotides long. RefSeq lists it as uncharacterized. The transcript has 6 exons. Lineage: Eukaryota; Viridiplantae; Streptophyta; Magnoliopsida; Poales; Poaceae. The record is from RefSeq and is a predicted model, not a curated record.